UACGGGAGGCAGCAGUGGGGAAUAUUGCACAAUGGGCGCAAGCCUGAUGCAGCCAUGCCGCGUGUAUGAAGAAGGCCUUCGGGUUGUAAAGUACUUUCAGUCGUGAGGAAGGUGUUAAGGUUAAUAACCUUAGCAAUUGACGUUAGCGACAGAAGAAGCACCGGCUAACUCCGUGCCAGCAGCCGCGGUAAUACGGAGGGUGCGAGCGUUAAUCGGAAUUACUGGGCGUAAAGGGCACGCAGGCGGUUAAUAAGUGGAUGUGGAAUCCCCGGGCUUAACCUGGGAAUGGCAUUCAAGACUGGUUAGCUAGAGUCUUGUAGAGGGGGUAGAAUUCCAUGUGUAGCGGUGAAAUGCGUAGAGAUGUGGAGGAAUACCGGUGGCGAAGGCGGCCCCUGGGACAAAGACUGACGCUCAUGUGCGAAAGCGUGGGGAGCGAAACAGGAUUAGAUACC
This 452-nucleotide ribosomal RNA is filed under the name uncultured bacterium. Its description in RNAcentral is "bacterial SSU rRNA". It matches the Rfam family "Bacterial small subunit ribosomal RNA", at positions 340 to 786 of the family's 1533-position model. The record is from RNAcentral.